RNAcentral lists this long non-coding RNA (275 nucleotides) under Olea europaea subsp. europaea. The record is from RNAcentral. Lineage: Eukaryota; Viridiplantae; Streptophyta; Magnoliopsida; Lamiales; Oleaceae.
CUAUGAUGGGCCGAAUUAGGUCAAAGGGCAUCCUCAUAUAAAUAGGUUAUGGUCCCCAGAUCACAUGCAGAUUAUUGUUCAUUCUCUACUGCAUCCCAUCACAGAGAGAAAAAGGAGAAUGCGUGUAGAUUUGGAAGAUCAUACCGCGAAAUCCAUAUUGCAUUAACUAUGUCAGAUUAAGGUAUGCUUCCGCUUUAAUUAUUAUAUUUCUUGAUGAUUUAACAUGAAAGAUCCGGUAUUUAAAGAAUUAAAUUAUCCAACAAGUGGUAUCAGAG